GCACACACUGGGAAUCUAGGAACACGGUCAGAUCCUAACCGGAGGCAGCAGUACGGAUCUCGCAUGACGAAGUCUGACCGAGCAACGCCGGCGUGAGUGAUGAAGUUUCGAUCGUAAAACUCUGUUGUAGGAAGAACAAGUACCGUUCGAAUAGGGCGGCACCUGACGGUACCUAACCAGAAAGCACGGCUAACUACGUGCCAGCAGCGCCGGUAAUACGUAGGUGGCAAGCGUGUCCGGAAUUAUUGGGCGUAAAGCGCGCGCAGGCGGUUUCUUAAGUCUGAUGUGAAAGCCCCCGGCUCAACCGGGGAGGGUCAUUGGAAACUGGGGAACUUGAGUGCAGAAGAGGAGAGUGGAAUUCCACGUGUAGCGGUGAAAUGCGUAGAGAUGUGGAGGAACACCAGUGGCGAAGGCGACUCUCUGGUCUGUAACUGACGCUGAGGCGCGAAAGCGUGGGGAGCGAACAGGAUUAGAUACCCUGGUAGUCCACGCCGUAAACGAUGAGUGCUAAGUGUUAGAGGGUUUCCGCCCUUUAGUGCUGCAGCAAACGCAUUAAGCACUCCGCCUGGGGAGUACGGUCGCAAGACUGAAACUCAAAGGAAUUGACGGGGGCCCGCACAAGCGGUGGAGCAUGUGGUUUAAUUCGAAGCAACGCGAAGAACCUUACCAGGUCUUGACAUCCUCUGACAACCCUAGAGAUAGGGCUUCCCCUUCGGGGGCAGAGUGACAGGUGGUGCAUGGUUGUCGUCAGCUCGUGUCGUGAGAUGUUGGGUUAAGUCCCGCAACGAGCGCAACCCUUGAUCUUAGUUGCCAGCAUUCAGUUGGGCACUCUAAGGUGACUGCCGGUGACAAACCGGAGGAAGGUGGGGAUGACGUCAAAUCAUCAUGCCCCUUAUGACCUGGGCUACACACGUGCUACAAUGGGCAGAACAAAGGGCAGCGAAGCCGCGAGGCUAAGCCAAUCCCACAAAUCUGUUCUCAGUUCGGAUCGCAGUCUGCAACUCGACUGCGUGAAGCUGGAAUCGCUAGUAAUCGCGGAUCAGCAUGCCGCGGUGAAUACGUUCCCGGGCCUUGUACACACCGCCCGUCACACCACGAGAGUUUGUAACACCCGAAGUCGGUGAGGUAACCUUUUGGAGCCAGCCGCCGAAGGUGGGACAGAUGAUGGGGGAAGUCGAACAAAGAGCCCC
Molecule: ribosomal RNA, 1190 nt
Filed under: Bacillus sp. (in: firmicutes)
Lineage: Bacteria; Bacillati; Bacillota; Bacilli; Caryophanales; Bacillaceae
Description: bacterial SSU rRNA
Rfam family: Bacterial small subunit ribosomal RNA
Source: RNAcentral